This 4735-nucleotide long non-coding RNA is filed under the name Nicotiana tabacum (common tobacco). RNAcentral describes it as "long non-coding RNA (NTAB_LNC000051)". The record is from RNAcentral. Lineage: Eukaryota; Viridiplantae; Streptophyta; Magnoliopsida; Solanales; Solanaceae.
AACUUCAACCAACAAUUGGUUCCAUCAACCCUAGAUAAGUGUUUAGCUACUUAUAACAAAAUAAUAGAAAACUACUAAAUUGUUCAUAAUGAAAUUGCAAGAAUUAAAAGGAGAUAGAAAAACUCUAAUGUUUGGUUGAUCUUCUCACUCUUGUUCUUGCCUCCAAAAGUAGUCUAAAAUCAGCUUCGCACAAUCUUGGGCGAGUUUCUAAAGCAUAUAAGGAGUUUACAAAAGUUUUCCCGAUUUUACACUUUGGUCCUCACACUUUCCAGCAGCGUGAAGAGGGCACUGCGGUCGCGGCCAACUGCGGUCGACCGCGGUGAAUGCUGACCUUUCUGCCUUACGUUGUUAAUCUACCGCGGUCACGGUGACCUUCUUUCCCAGGCCAUCUAUGCUUCUUUGUGUUCGGGUACUUCUCGAGCGGGCAUUUUUCUUCACAUUAUCGCCUCCAAAAAACUCCAUGUUGCUUCCUCUCAUAUAAUAUUCCCUGCUAAACAAAAGAACACUAUUUAAAGUAUUUUGUUGGAAAUUUAUCUAUAAAACAACAACAAAGUUUGGUCAUAUUAAGGUGUAAAUAUCAACUAUAUAUCCUACUAUCACCUACGUAUCACGACCACACAUGAAUCAGAUCUUUGCGUAGUUCUGGAAGAUCGGGAAUAAAGUUAACAAACCAACGUUUUCUUUUUUUUCUUUUUUUUAUGACAAUCUGAUGAGAAAAGAGAAAUAAAAGAAGCAAACCCUUUUUUUGAAUUUUCUAGACUUAAUGUUCUAUAACCUAUUCUAAACGCAAGCUUAACGAGCCUAUAUUUUCUUUUUUCUUUCUUUUUGAAACAAAUACUCUACGGGAACUAUUAAGGAAAAACUCUAGAAGAGAAAAACAUUUUAUUUUUUUUUAGGAAGGAAAUCUAAAGAAUAAACCACAGAAAAAUAUUUUGAAUUUUCAUUUGAUAUCCCUGAAAAAUGAUUUCGAAGCGAGAAAUUAACAAAAUAAAAGAUAUUUUUAGAUUUCAGUUUUUGAUUACCUAAAGAAAAAACUUUAAAGAUAAACAAAAGAUAAAGUAUGCUUCUUUUCUAUGUACAAUAUCCUAAAGUUCUAGUGAAAAUAAGAAAACAUUUUUUUUUACAUUUUUCAUUAAUUUCCCAAAGAAUAAUCUCAAAAGAAAAUCUUUUUGAAUUUUUUGAAUUGAUAUAUUAAAGAAAACUUUUUAAAGAGAUACUAAAAUAAAAUUCUCUUUUUUUUUGGAUUUUUAGUCUUAAUGUACCAAAAGGAAGUAUAAAAGCAAUUUUUGUUCUGAGUUCUAAAUAUUAACUUUCUAAGGGAAACCACCUCAAAAGAAAUAUUUUUUUUUUAAUUCUAGAAUUAGUAUUCCAAAGAAAACUUCUAAAGGAAAUAUAAAAACACAAAAUUUCUUCUUUUUUUUCGCUUUUUUGACUUGUAACACAUUUCCAAAUACAAAAUAAGAAAUACAAUAACAAAAGACUCGGCAAACUUAACUAGACUAUGACAAACUCUAACAUUACCUAAAAGACUGGAUACUACUAUACAAGACUAGAAAGUAAAACAUGAACAGUUGACUCAAAAACAUAAAAUGGAUCCUCGAGCAGCUCCUGAAUGCAGUGAUCCUGAGGUAUCUGUCAUGCUCAAACUCCGGUAAGUAGAUCCACAUCUGUAUGAAAAACUUUUAACCAACACUAUGUGAGAUAAUAACACUCCCUAUUAACAUAUGCAAGACAUAUUUGAGGCUAUUUUUGCAAAAUGACUAUGUGGCCAAAAGUGGCUAAAAAUGCAAAAUUUGGCUAAGACCCCGCAAAGCCAAGAACCUAAGAUUUACUAGGAAGACUGGACCCUAUGUGAGUUAUCUACGUAUCACGCCUCGAUCGACGAGAAUCAGGUAUCGUAGUUCGGGCAGAUUGGAUACGGGCGAGAAAUAAAAAUAACAACUAAUUCAGAGAAAAAACAUUUUUUAUCUUUUGUUUUGAAAAAUGAUGAAACAUGUAAACUCCUUUUGGAUUUUCUUAUUUUUCCCCUUUUUUUGAUUUUCUGAUUUUCGGAAAAUGAUGAAAAAGUGCAAAAUCUUUUUUUUUUUUGAAAUUUCAAGCUCUUUUUUCUUUUCUUAACAACAAUGUGAUAGAAAACAUAAUUGGGUCCUCCUCGCUUUAUCCUCACACUUCACCUCUUUUUUUCUUUUUCAUUUGCCCCCAAUUAUCAUUGGUCUGCCAAAUGACCCUUUUACCCUUGAAGAAAUGCAAUAUGUAGCACAUAUGAUACAUCAGGAUGGUCUUUUCUAAUCGGGUGCACCUGUCAUAGAUGGACCCAACCCCUGUGUUGAGUCCCCAUUGUCAAAAAUGCACAUGAUACAAGCAAGCGCUCCUACUAGGGAUCCGGCAUGAGGCUAUGUUAUACUAGGUUUGAAAACCUGGGUUUAUUGUUCUAGACCUGGCUUACCCGGGCAGACAGCUCGAGCCGAGGCGGGCAGCGUACCGGGAAUACAGAAGCUUCACCGGCUUUGCAACUUGUCCGAACCUCGUUCUAACAUUGGAUAAGACUCUAGACAGAAGAGAAGUCACAUGAAGUGCACCCUUCUCAAAUGAUUUAGAAGACUCGGAGAGAAGAAGGGUUUCGUAGCAGUUUAUAUACAGUUCACAGAAUAUCAAAGCGAUAAAAGCAACACUUAGCAAAUUAGGCCCAAACAUGGAACAAAAUCAGAUAAUAAAUAAAGCCAAAUAUAACAAUUCAUCUAAGCUCGAAUUCUGAACCAAAGUUCUGGGUUCGAUCCCCAGCAGAGUCGCUAGAGCUAUCACACCUCCUUUUUCACUACCCCCGGAAGGGUAUAAGGGAGUUUUUUCAAUUUAAGUGACAAUUGAAACGGGAUCAUUUUAUUAAAAAUUCAGAGUCGCCACUUGGGAUAAUUUAUGGUAUCUCAAGUCACCGGUUUAAAAUCCCAAAUCGAGGAAAAGAUUGACUCUAUUUUACAGUCCGCAAACACAGAAAUUCAGGUAAGGAACUUUGUUAACCCGAGAGAAGGUGUUAGGCAUUCCCGGGUUUUGUGGUUCUAGCACGGUCGCUCAACUGUUAUAAUUGGCCUAUUAUCUGAUUUUAAUACAUGUUUUAACCUAUGGUACAAUUUUUAACUUAUUAACCGCUUUUAAUUAUUUUAGGAAAAGAUUCAACAUUAUUUAAAACACGCCUUGAACCACGCCACAUGAAAUGCACACGCAAUCCACGACACAUUUUAUUUAACGUUGUUGAGAAUUGGAGUUGAGUCACAUGAAAUGCGCACCCGAGUUUAAGGAAAUUAAUUUAAAUGGUGCGCCUAAAGUAAGCCACGGUGUUCAUAAUUAUUCAUUUUUUCUAAAUUUAAGUAGGAAAAUGAAUUAAACUAAUAUUACCAGAUAUGAUCAAGAAAACUGGAAAAGAAAACAAUUAAAGAACGCUAACAAAUUACAAAUGUUUCUCUAUUUUUGGGUUAGCCAAAGAUAUGCAGCAAUCCAUAUUGUUCUUUUCCUCUUCUUCCUUUGCAUUGGAGGUAAUUCAAUAAUCAAACAAUUAUAGUUAGUUAACAAAAAAAAUGAUAAAAGACUACAAUUCAAUGUAGUACGUCUAAUUACAUCAAUUUGAAAGAGAUUUGACAUUAACUACUGUUCAAACCAACGAGCUUUUCCUGCCAUCUAAACCUCAUUAUUUUUUCAUAUAACUCUUACACAUUAUUACCAAUUGGAAAUAACCACAAACUAUUCUUGUUCAUCAACACACUGAUCACGGGCAGAAUUACAGAGCUAAAUUAGUACAUAAAAUUGUGAUAAAAGCAAAAUUCCAUAAUUAACUGUUUCAAUUAACCCAAAGAGAAAUUCGUGCAUACUGAAUAUUUGAACAAUCCAAAAAAAAAAAUAGAUUUGCAAUUCACUUUGAAAAAUAUUUUUAAACAUACCAGUGAACAAACAACUACAAGCUUCAUGGCAUUGCUAGCUCAAACAGGUUUACGAUUCGGGUCCCAAAUGUUAUGGCAGUAUCUAAAUCCAAUUUUAUAUUCAAAUAGACAAGAUAUGUAAAUCAAUAAUUGUAAUCACUUGUUCAACAGAUAAGAACAUGUAGUUUCUGAAAUCCUUUCUCAUAAAAAACAACAAGUGGUCCAAAUCAAAUUACAAAGUCGAAAUCAAGAAAAUGUACCUUGCUCCAAUAGAAUAAAAGAGAAACAAUGAUAAGAAAUGAAUAUGGAUCUCGGCAAUGCAGUGAACUAGCAGCACACAGUAGUUUCUUCGAUUCAAAAGUUUUUACCCAGGAAAUGUGCAGCAAACCCGUUAAACUUGAAAACAACUAUCGGCUCUUCUUCUCUUUCUUUCUUUUUUUUUGAACUUUUCUUUAGUUUUAAAGAUUUUUGAUUUUCAGAUCUUCAUUUGAGUUUUUGUUUUAGCUUUGUUUCAGCCAUUUUUGCAUUUCGCGUGUGUCAAUCAUGAGUGAAAGGUGAGUGAAGGAAAGAAGAAAAGAAGGGGAAAGUGUUGGUUUUUUAGAGAAAUCAAGCUGAAGAAGAUGACCUGGGGCGCCGUUUCUCUAUAUUUCUAAGGGGUAAGGGAUCUAAUCAUCUUGUAUUGGUUGUGAGAUGAAGAAGCAGCAGCGUUGGUUUUGGGUAUUGAAGAAAAAUGGGGAUCUCCUUCUCUGUGGCGCUGCCUUUUGUCUGGGAUCUUUUUUAGGUCUCCCCAAAUCUGAUUUCUUUUGUGUCUUAACUCCCCUUUUAUG